Ornithodoros turicata is the source of this 1446-nucleotide long non-coding RNA. RefSeq lists it as uncharacterized. The record is from RefSeq and is a predicted model, not a curated record. The transcript has 2 exons. Lineage: Eukaryota; Metazoa; Arthropoda; Arachnida; Ixodida; Argasidae.
CAGUGAUUUGGCCGUAUAGACAGAGAGAUAUGUCUCCGGGUUUUGAAGAAAAACCGAGAUCUUCUCGUGGUGCCUGGGUGUUGGAUGUCUCCAUCAAAGUAAGGUUUCUAGCGUCAGUUAGAAUGAAAAUUGUAUGGUGUUCGAUUAGAUUAAAUCACGAAGAUGAUUUUAUGAUGGUUCAAUGAUAGAUUAUUUCCUCUGUUGUUGUUUACGUGGCGCCACUUAUAGUGUUCCUGUGUUCUUCCUUCUGUGUUCUUCCUUCCUUCAGCGUUAAGUCUGUGCUAUUCACAGUAUUAAAUUCGUCAUGUUUCUUGUUUUGAUAGGUUGUUUCGCUAUUGCAUGUAUCUGUUGUUUACGUGUUGGCUAGGAGUUGCAGGUUUGGCUCUCUAUUAAUGCUAGCUGUUGAUUGUGAUGUUUCUCAUUAUUUCCUUAUGUCUAUGCUAUUCACUUAAUAAGAAAUUGAUUAAUUAAAAGUUGCGUAUUGUUGGAAUAAUCGACUUAUCUUCCCUAUUGCGCUCGAAAUGUUCAUAACUGUCACAAAACAGGCCGUACGCCUCCCGUCUUCAACAAAUCAGUGCAGAUAUUAUUAGAGCUGGUUGUUGACUAGGAGCGUGCUAUGGGGUGAAGAUCAUUUUUUUUACAUAUUUUCUGCGUUGGAUUCAUAAAACAAAGUAAGGUUUGUAGUGUCUCUUAGAAUGAAAAUUGUAUGGUGUUUGAUUAUAUUAAGUCACGAGGAUGAUUUUAUGAUAGUUAAAAUGAUAGAUUAUUCUCCUCUGUUGUUUGGUUAAGAAUAUCUUCUUUGAUUAAAUGUGGUGUUAUAGAUUUUAUUUCCUCUUGUGUUCGUGUCGUUCUUGUCGUUCGUGUCCCAUGGUCUUCCAGGGUCUCUGCUGUUCACAAUUAAUUACAUACAUCUAUCGGCACUUGUAGUUAUAAUCCUGUGAGAUUCUCUUUCAGAUUAUUGUUGCUAUAAUUCAAGUAUGAUUGUUGAUAUUAAAAUGUCUCUUUAUUCAGAUUAUCCAGUGUGGCCGCAGUAUUGUAUGUAUUAAUGAAAGUAGAUUAUGAUAAUAAAUGAGAUUCUCUUUCAGAUUAUUGGGGUCCACCGCCGUCUCAGUGUAUGUAUUAUUGAAAGUAGAAUAUGAUAUUAAAUUAUAUUCUCUUUCGGAUUAUUGUUGCUAUAAUGGGAGUAUGAUUGUUGAUAUUAAAAUGUAUCUUUUUCAAAUUAUCCAGUGUGGCCGCAGUAUUGUACGUAUUAUUGAAUGCGAAUGUAGUUUCAUAUAAUAAUAAGUAAUCUUUCAGGUCGUUGGUGCGGGGCUCCGUAAGUGAACAAUUGGUCGUGAAGGUUUUUCGGCUUGGUUUUUCUCCUUCACCUGAUUGGCAUUACAAUUGGCAGUACAACUGGUACAAUUCACAGCACUAUUGGCUUUAAUAAAUAUAUUUCAACUUGUA